This 253-nucleotide ribosomal RNA is filed under the name uncultured bacterium. RNAcentral describes it as "partial 16S ribosomal RNA". It matches the Rfam family "Bacterial small subunit ribosomal RNA", at positions 524 to 776 of the family's 1533-position model. The record is from RNAcentral.
UACGUAGGCAGCAAGCGUUGUUCGGAGUUACUGGGCGUAAAGAGUGCGUAGGCGGUCCUGUAAGUUUGGUGUGAAAUCUCCCGGCUCAACUGGGAGGGUGCGCCGAAGACUGCAGGGCUUGAGUAUGGGAGAGGUAAGCGGAAUUCCUGGUGUAGCGGUGAAAUGCGCAGAUAUCAGGAGGAACACCGGUGGCGAAGGCGGGUCUCUGGGCCGAUAUUGACGCUGAGGAGCGAAAGCGUGGGGAGCGAACAGG